GACGAACGCUGGCGGCGUGCCUAAUACAUGCAAGUCGAGCGGACAGAAGGGAGCUUGCUCCCGGAAGUCAGCGGCGGACGGGUGAGUAACACGUGGGCAACCUGCCUGUAAGACUGGGAUAACUUCGGGAAACCGGAGCUAAUACCGGAUAGGUUCUUCCUCCGCAUGGGGGAAGAUGGAAAGACGGUUUCGGCUGUCACUUACAGAUGGGCCCGCGGCGCAUUAGCUAGUUGGUGGGGUAUGGCCCACCAAGGCAACGAUGCGUAGCCGACCUGAGAGGGUGAUCGGCCACACUGGGACUGAGACACGGCCCAGACUCCUACGGGAGGCAGCAGUAGGGAAUCUUCCGCAAUGGACGAAAGUCUGACGGAGCAACGCCGCGUGAGCGAAGAAGGCCUUCGGGUCGUAAAGCUCUGUUGUUAGGGAAGAACAAGUGCCAGAGUAACUGCUGGCACCUUGACGGUACCUGACCAGAAAGCCACGGCUAACUACGUGCCAGCCGCCGCAGUAA
Molecule: ribosomal RNA, 511 nt
Filed under: uncultured bacterium
Lineage: Bacteria
Description: partial 16S ribosomal RNA
Rfam family: Bacterial small subunit ribosomal RNA
Source: RNAcentral